UGCACGGCUGCAGCCUCCUCACC
RNAcentral lists this non-coding RNA (23 nucleotides) under Gallus gallus (chicken). Lineage: Eukaryota; Metazoa; Chordata; Aves; Galliformes; Phasianidae. The record is from miRBase by way of RNAcentral.